This 200-nucleotide ribosomal RNA is filed under the name uncultured prokaryote. RNAcentral's name for it is "partial 16S ribosomal RNA". It matches the Rfam family "Bacterial small subunit ribosomal RNA", at positions 1186 to 1382 of the family's 1533-position model. The record is from RNAcentral.
CAAAUCAUCAUGCCCCUUACGUCCUGGGCUACACACGUACUACAAUGGGCGGACAUACAACGGGUAGCGACAUGGUGACAUGGAGCCAAUCUCUAAAAAGCCGCCUCAGUUCGGAUCGCAGGCUGCAACCCGCCUGCGUGAAGUCGGAAUUGCUAGUAAUCGCGGAUCAGCAUGCCGCGGUGAAUACGUUCCCGGGCCUU